CGUGAUCGAUGAAGCUUUUCGGAGUGUAAAGAUCUGUCGUGAGGGAAGAAUAACUUGGAUGCAAAUAGUUUUCAAGUCUGACGGUACCUUACAAGAAAGCACCGGCUAACUUCGUGCCAGCAGCCGCGGUAAUACGAGGGGUGCUAGCGUUGUCCGGAAUCAUUGGGCGUAAAGGGUCCGUAGGUGUCUUUGCAAGUCGUUUGUUACAUCCACCGGCUUAACCGGUGGCCUGCAAUCGAAACUGUAGGGAUAGAGUUCGAGAGAGGAAAGUGGAAUUCCUGGUGUAGCGGUGACAUGCGUAGAUAUCAGGAGGAACACCAAUGGCGAAGGCAGCUUUCUGGCUCGAUACUGACACUGAGGGACGAAAGCGUGGGGAGCAAACAGGAUUAGAUACCCUGGUAGUCCACGUCGUAAACGAUGAGUACUUGAUGUCGGAGGAUUCGACCCCUUCGGUAUCGUAGCUAACGCGUUAAGUACUCCGCCUGGGGACUACGGCCGCAAGGCUG
This 506-nucleotide ribosomal RNA is filed under the name uncultured Fidelibacterota bacterium. RNAcentral's name for it is "bacterial SSU rRNA". It matches the Rfam family "Bacterial small subunit ribosomal RNA", at positions 400 to 896 of the family's 1533-position model. Lineage: Bacteria; Pseudomonadati; Fidelibacterota. The record is from RNAcentral.